AAAUACUUAAUUCUCAAUCGAGCAUCAUAUCUUCAAUGCUCUUCAUUGAAGUAUUAGGGGAUUAGCAGUUGCAGAUUUCACAUCACAAAAGAGAGGGUUCACAAAUUGUUGAGGGCAAUGAGGGUUCACAGAUUUCAUAUCUUCAAUGCUCUUCUUUGUUGCAGAAGUUUAAGGAUGUACAACGCCAACAUCAGGAACAUGUGAGAACUCAGAUGUAUCCCCCGUUCCACUGCAUCCAUCGUGUCCCAGGAUGUACCAGAAAUCAGAUUAACCAAUAAUGCUUCACCUAGUGCAGAGCAAAGCCAUCCUCAUUCAAUAUCAUAGAGAGAGGCCUAGUGCAACUUAAAGAAUAAUGUUUCUUCUCCAUUGGCAUAUAUAACUCUGAUUUUGAUUUGCAAAUGAAUAGGUUGUACGCUGUUCUUUUCCAUAAAAAUACAAAGAAUGCCCUUAGCCUAGGUGUGUGAUCCAAAUUGGAAGAAAUGGAUGACAUGCAAUUCCAAACUUCAACUUUUACAAUGCUACAGGACUGCUUGUAAAAUAAUAUUGAUAUAUCAUCUGGGCCGGUGCAUUUAUGUAAACCCAUGUUGAAUACACUACUUGCUUAUUUCUUAUUCACUUGGAAUCUAAGUUAGCAUCUUAUUCUUGUUACAAA
Long non-coding RNA from Quercus robur (English oak), 652 nucleotides. RefSeq lists it as uncharacterized. The transcript is spliced from 2 exons. The record is from RefSeq and is a predicted model, not a curated record. NCBI's taxonomy places the organism in Eukaryota, Viridiplantae, Streptophyta, Magnoliopsida, Fagales, Fagaceae.